CGUAACAAGGUCUCCGUUGGUGAACCAGCGGAGGGAUCAUUACAGAGUUAUCCAACUCCCAAACCCAUGUGAACUUACCUUUGUUGCCUCGGCAGAAGCUACCUGUACCUACCUGGAACAGCCUACCUGGAGCGAUCCGGGCUGGCCUACCUGGAACGGUCUGGUGGUCGACUGCCGGUGGACCAUUCAACUCUUGUUAUUUUAUUGUAAUCUGAGCGUCUUAUUUUAAUAAGUCAAAACUUUCAACAACGGAUCUCUUGGUUCUGGCAUCGAUGAAGAACGCAGCGAAAUGCGAUAAGUAAUGUGAAUUGCAGAAUUCAGUGAAUCAUCGAAUCUUUGAACGCACAUUGCGCCCAUUAGUAUUCUAGUGGGCAUGCCUGUUCGAGCGUCAUUUCAACCCUUAAGCCUAGCUUAGUAUUGGGAGUCUACUGUAUUGUAGUUCCUCAAAUCCAACGGCGGAUCUGUGGUAUCCUCUGAGCGUAGUAAAUUUUUAUCUCGCUUUUGUCAGGUGCUGCAGCUCCCGGCCGCUAAACCCCCCAAAUUUUUAAUGGUUGACCUCGGAUCAGGUAGGAAUACCCGCUGAACUUAAGCAUAUCAAUAAGCGGAGGAAAAGAAACCAACAGGGAUUGCCCUAGUAACGGCGAGUGAAGCGGCAACAGCUCAAAUUUGAAAUCUGGCCCUUGGGUCCGAAUUGUAAUUUGUAGAGGAUGAUUUUGGUGCGGUAUCUUCCGAGUUCCUUGGAACAGGACGCCUUA
This 755-nucleotide unclassified non-coding RNA is filed under the name Seiridium eucalypti. RNAcentral's name for it is "sequence contains ITS1, 5.8S rRNA gene, ITS2". The stretch from base 238 to 391 matches the Rfam family "5.8S ribosomal RNA". Lineage: Eukaryota; Fungi; Ascomycota; Sordariomycetes; Amphisphaeriales; Sporocadaceae. The record is from RNAcentral.